AUUGAACGCUGGCGGCAUGCCUUACACAUGCAAGUCGAACGGCAGCACGGGUGAUUGCACCUGGUGGCGAGUGGCGAACGGGUGAGUAAUACAUCGGAACAUGUCCUGUAGUGGGGGAUAGCCCGGCGAAAGCCGGAUUAAUACCGCAUACGAUCCACGGAUGAAAGCGGGGGACCUUCGGGCCUCGCGCUAUAGGGUUGGCCGAUGGCUGAUUAGCUAGUUGGUGGGGUAAAGGCCUACCAAGGCGACGAUCAGUAGCUGGUCUGAGAGGACGACCAGCCACACUGGGACUGAGACACGGCCCAGCCUCCUGCGGGAGGCAGCAGUGGGGAAUUUUGGACAAUGGGCGAAAGCCUGAUCCAGCAAUGCCGCGUGUGUGAAGAAGGCCUUCGGGUUGUAAAGCACUUUUGUCCGGAAAGAAAUCCUUGACUCUAAUACAGUCGGGGGAUGACGGUACCGGAAGAAUAAGCACCGGCUAACUACGUG
Molecule: ribosomal RNA, 486 nt
Filed under: uncultured bacterium
Lineage: Bacteria
Description: partial 16S ribosomal RNA
Rfam family: Bacterial small subunit ribosomal RNA
Source: RNAcentral